This is a non-coding RNA of Nematostella vectensis (starlet sea anemone), 71 nucleotides long. NCBI's taxonomy places the organism in Eukaryota, Metazoa, Cnidaria, Anthozoa, Actiniaria, Edwardsiidae. The record is from Rfam.
GCCUCUGUAGCUCAGUGGUUAGAGCACUGGUCUUGUAAACCAGGGGUCGAGAGUUCGACACUAAAAAGGCU